CACCCUUUUAAGCGCAGUCCCGUGAGGCUGCAAAAGGGGCGGAAUCGUUUCGGCUGUUUCUGCACCCUCUUUGCGUCUUCGCGGGCAAAGAGGGAUUUUUUU
Geobacillus kaustophilus HTA426 is the source of this 102-nucleotide regulatory RNA element. It matches the Rfam family "PyrR binding site". Rfam says of the family: This family represents the PyrR binding site and terminator structure. This RNA structure is found upstream of a variety of genes involved in pyrimidine biosynthesis and transport. The record is from Rfam. Lineage: Bacteria; Bacillati; Bacillota; Bacilli; Caryophanales; Anoxybacillaceae.